AGGCUUUGGGCGAGAGUAGUACUAGGAUGGGUGACCUCCUGGGAAGUCCUCGUGUUGCACCCC
This 63-nucleotide ribosomal RNA is filed under the name Prospero autumnale (starry hyacinth). Lineage: Eukaryota; Viridiplantae; Streptophyta; Magnoliopsida; Asparagales; Asparagaceae. The record is from RNAcentral.